This 475-nucleotide ribosomal RNA is filed under the name uncultured bacterium. RNAcentral's name for it is "partial 16S ribosomal RNA". It matches the Rfam family "Bacterial small subunit ribosomal RNA", at positions 28 to 523 of the family's 1533-position model. The record is from RNAcentral.
GACGAACGCUGGCGGCGUGCUUAACACAUGCAAGUCGAACGGUAAGGCCCUUCGGGGUACACGAGUGGCGAACGGGUGAGUAACACGUGGGUGAUCUGCCCUGCACUUCGGGAUAAGCCUGGGAAACUGGGUCUAAUACCGGAUAGGACCACUGCCUGCAUGGGUGGUGGAAGGCUUUUGCGGUGUGGGAUGGGCCCGCGGCCUAUCAGCUUGUUGGUGGGGUGAUGGCCUACCAAGGCGACGACGGGUAGCCGGCCUGAGAGGGUGACCGGCCACACUGGGACUGAGAUAGGGCCCAGACUCCUACGGGAGGCAGCAGUGGGGAAUAUUGCACUAUGGGCGCAAGCCUGAUGCGGCGACGCCGCGUGAGGGAUGACGGCCUUCGGGUUGUAAACCUCUUUCAGCACCGACGAAGCGCAAGUGACGGUAGGUGCAGAAGAAGGACCGGCCAACUACGUGCCAGCCGCCGCGGUAA